Molecule: long non-coding RNA, 1271 nt
Organism: Cyprinus carpio carpio
Lineage: Eukaryota; Metazoa; Chordata; Actinopteri; Cypriniformes; Cyprinidae
Source: Ensembl
AUUAAUAUAAAUGAAAACAUAUUGUCAGGAUCCUGCCCUGAGAGUUGUUCCUGUCUUGUCUCCAUUCAAUGUUUCUUUGUUUGUUUUGUGUCUCAGCACAUGGCUCUGUCUCUGUUUGUGCUUGUCAUGUGCUCCUCUUGUCCCACCUCCUUGUUUCCACUGGUCACGCCCCCUUGUUUAGUCCUUGUUUGCUUGAUUAAUAUGUUCACCUGAUCCUCAUGUGCUCUGCUCCUCUAUAUUGUGCUCCUUUAACUUGUGUCCCUGCUGGUUCAUUGAGGUGUUUUCCUGUUCUUUGUCUGGAAAUUAUCUGUUGAUCUUGUUCUAGUGAUUUUUAAUCUCAUAUCCAGUAAUAUUGUAUCCUUGUUUCUAUUUUGUUUGCUGUAGUUUUUGAUUUUGUGCAUUCUAGUGUAGUUUAGUUUCUUAUUCGAUUUAGAAUUUCAUUUUCAUUCUGUUUUUGCAGUUCCAGUUUCCUUAUUGGACCGUAGCUCUUUUGUUUUUACUUUUCAAUUAUUCUUUGGCUAGUUUUGGUCUCUUUGGCAAUUGCUCUUUUCUGUUUUGUUCUCUUAUUUGUUUUUGCAUUUUGUCUGUCUUGUUGUGUUGUCUUGAGUCUCGUCUUCGUGUUUUGUCUGGUCCUGUCCUGUAUCCAGAGUUUCCUGGCCAAGACCCUACUGCCUGGCAGCGGCUCUCUAAUGGUGUGUGAUAAGAGUGUUUAUACCAUCUGGACUGUGAUUUGCUGGAUUAGUUCCACUUGUCAUUGUGUCGCUCACAUUACGAGAUCACAUGGUAAUAUCAAACCGGUUUGAAAAUGUCAUAGCAUCUGUGAUAGCUCGAGACAGGUUUGGAUCAUGUUGCUGACCUUCUCAUACUUAACGAGCUUCGGUGACCGCAAUGAGCACCGAUUUGGUCACGAUCUGGGGGUAUUGUAGGAGAUUGUUGAAAUAUGUCCGCGACAGCAAAAUCCAGCCAAAAAUCCAAUAGUGUGAGCUUGUCAUAACUCAAGUAUCUAGCCUUUGGUUCUGUGAGCCACCACCUGGCAGCAAGACUGGUGCUACAUCUGAGAUCUACAUCAGGCGAUGGGUUUCUUGUGUUCCUGCCUAGUCUUUUCUCUGGUGCUGCAGCUCUUGUGCUCAAGUCCAUUGCCAAAGUGGACUGUCAUCUGUGGACUGUGGACGGUCAUCACUCCUGCCUGUUGUUUGCCCUGCCCCAGUGUUUGGUCUGUUUCACGCCUCACUGUCAUUGCUGUCUCUAGUCUACUGUCUUGUUAAUAAAAC